CUUUUUCCACCUUUGAUUUGGUGGCAGAGAAAAAGAAUUUCCACUUUUUAGUGGAAGUUUACAGAUUAUGACUAUGCAAUACACUUCUUUACAGAGACUUUGGGUAGGCAGAUAAAUAUUUUACAAGCAAAACCCCAGCCCCUGACCUUACUUCCCUGCUUGUGGUUCUGCUGAGAUUCUGACCCCCACCCUACAUCUGCUUUCUCUCUCCAGACCAAUUCCUUUCUUUCCUGUGGUCAAGAGAACAAGCUGGCCAUAACAUCACAUAGCUCACAGUGGUGUCAGGCUGGCAUACAUCACUGCCCACAGUUUUGCCGGUGGCAGUUCAACCAAGAAGUGGUCUAAGUCCAGAGGGAGUUCAACCACAAAAUCUCAAGGAGGUCUUCUUCGUGGCAGAUGGGAGCAUUUUGGUCUCUGAAAAGAACUUCCCUUCCUUGGAACUGGUGAGCUGGAACUCUGGUUUACAUAGGAGCUUCCCGCAGACUUGUAAGCACAUCAGCCCUCAGGAGCCCUGACGCAACAUCAAGUUCAGGGUUUGUCAAGCUGAGGAUCAGACUGUGAAGCAGGGGAUACCCAAAUCCUAACUUUUCUGUUGGACGGCUCCUAAGAACACUGUAAGCAUCCCAUCUAUCCUGACAAGUCUGCGGAAGAGAGACUAGAUGUGAAAGUUACAGGGACGAAAAUAGUAAUGCAGCAACCCAUUGCCUGAUGAAGACCCAUCCCUCAUUAGGAAGGGCAAAGCUUGGAAAUCCUUCUUCCUGUCUAUGGAGCCCUCUCUCAUUGUCACUGAAGCCCUGUAAACCUUCUGUGGAGGACACACAGCCAGCUUCCUGCUUGAGAUUCUUUGGCCUCUUCCGCAGAUUAAAAACUUUGAAUUCCUUAUUGUUACUUCAAAAAAUCCAUUAUUUAUUUCUGGAAUGAUUUAGCAAUGUUAUUACUCUUUUUAAGAGUAAGUAAGAGUAAAGUCUUAAAAGAUAUUCAGUCAGUGGCUCAAGAAUAUAGUUUCUAAAAGAAAUCCAAGUAUGGCUGUAUCAUAAUUAGGCAGUGUCUGAAAUUUUACACCAAUGCUUCUCCAAGUGCAACCCUAGGACUAGCAACAAGAACACAACCCAGGAACUGCAGAUCCUUAGGAUCCACCCUGAUCCACUGAAUCAUGCACCUUGGGUGGAGCCCAGUGGUCUGGGCUUUAACCAAGGCCUUCUGGUGCUUGACUCUCACUGACUUUGGAGAAUUAUUGCUCCCAUGCAAGAUGAGGUAGAAAGGACAGAUUGCAGUGUCUGAGCCUGAGUAUAAAGGAAGGUCCUCAGUCCUGAUACCUCCAAAUCCAACCCUCUAGCUGGUAGUAAAGGAUAGAAAUGUUC
Molecule: long non-coding RNA, 1361 nt
Filed under: Fukomys damarensis (Damara mole-rat)
Lineage: Eukaryota; Metazoa; Chordata; Mammalia; Rodentia; Bathyergidae
Description: lncRNA (ENSFDAG00000024683.1)
Source: RNAcentral